This 422-nucleotide ribosomal RNA is filed under the name Salmonella enterica. RNAcentral describes it as "bacterial SSU rRNA". It matches the Rfam family "Bacterial small subunit ribosomal RNA", at positions 1093 to 1515 of the family's 1533-position model. The record is from RNAcentral. Lineage: Bacteria; Pseudomonadati; Pseudomonadota; Gammaproteobacteria; Enterobacterales; Enterobacteriaceae. RNAcentral also lists the same sequence under 2 other names.
CGAGCGCAACCCUUAUCCUUUGUUGCCAGCGAUUAGGUCGGGAACUCAAAGGAGACUGCCAGUGAUAAACUGGAGGAAGGUGGGGAUGACGUCAAGUCAUCAUGGCCCUUACGACCAGGGCUACACACGUGCUACAAUGGCGCAUACAAAGAGAAGCGACCUCGCGAGAGCAAGCGGACCUCAUAAAGUGCGUCGUAGUCCGGAUUGGAGUCUGCAACUCGACUCCAUGAAGUCGGAAUCGCUAGUAAUCGUGGAUCAGAAUGCCACGGUGAAUACGUUCCCGGGCCUUGUACACACCGCCCGUCACACCAUGGGAGUGGGUUGCAAAAGAAGUAGGUAGCUUAACCUUCGGGAGGGCGCUUACCACUUUGUGAUUCAUGACUGGGGUGAAGUCGUAACAAGGUAACCGUAGGGGAACCUGC